RNAcentral lists this unclassified non-coding RNA (241 nucleotides) under uncultured Helotiales. RNAcentral's name for it is "sequence contains ITS2". The stretch from base 1 to 52 matches the Rfam family "5.8S ribosomal RNA", at positions 103 to 154 of the family's 154-position model. The record is from RNAcentral. Lineage: Eukaryota; Fungi; Ascomycota; Leotiomycetes; Helotiales.
AACGCACAUUGCGCCCUCUGGUAUUCCGGGGGGCAUGCCUGUUCGAGCGUCAUUAUAACCACUCAAGCUCUCGCUUGGUAUUGGGGUUCGCGGUUUCGCGGCCCCUAAAAUCAGUGGCGGUGCCUGUCGGCUCUACGCGUAGUAAUACUCCUCGCGAUUGAGUCCGGUAGGUCUACUUGCCAGCAACCCCUAAUUUUUUAAGGUUGACCUCGGAUCAGGUAGGGAUACCCGCUGAACUUAA